Non-coding RNA from Podospora didyma, 103 nucleotides. Lineage: Eukaryota; Fungi; Ascomycota; Sordariomycetes; Sordariales; Podosporaceae. The record is from the annotation of a GenBank genome assembly.
GCCUGCGUAGCUUAGGGGUAGAGCAUUGGUCUCAUGAAAAGUAUGAAUCUUGAGUUGACUCGAGAGAUAACCAAGUACGGUGGCUCGAUUCCGCCCGCGGGCA